Molecule: ribosomal RNA, 1682 nt
Filed under: human gut metagenome
Description: bacterial LSU rRNA
Rfam family: Bacterial large subunit ribosomal RNA
Source: RNAcentral
AGAGUGCGUAAUAGCUCACUGGUCGAGAGGUCCUGCGCCGAAAAUGUCCGGGGCUGAAACGCGCCACCGAAACUAAGGAACCGAAAGGUUGGUAGAGGAGCAUUGCAUGCGGAACGAAGCAGUACCGUAAGGAGCUGUGGACUGCAUGGAAGAGAGAAUGCCGGAAUGAGUAGCGAGAUAGAGGUGGGAAUCCUCUAGGCCGAAUAUCCAAGGUUUCCAGAGUAAAGCUGAUCUGCUCUGGGUAAGUCGGGGCCUAAGGCGAGGACGAGAGUCGUAGCCGAUGGACAACAGGUGGAGAUUCCUGUACUGCGGUAUGACAGAACUGUGGGGACACGUAAGGAAAGCGGAAGCCGGGAAUGGAAAGCCCGGUGCAAGCGGGGUACCAGUCACUUUGGCAAAUCCGGGUGGCAAUGGGAAGCCGUGAUGCGGAGCGAAAUAAAGUAGCGAAGUCCGUGAGCCAUGCGUCAAGAAAAGCCGCUAUUGUUUAUACCGUACCCGUACCGUAAACCGACACAGGUGGAUGAGGAGAGAAUCCUAAGGCCGGCGGAAGAAGCAUUGUCAAGGAACUCGGCAAAAUGACCCCGUAACUUCGGGAGAAGGGGUGCCUGCGAGAGCAGGCCGCAGAGAAUAGGCUCAAGCAACUGUUUAGCAAAAACACAGGUCUAUGCGAAACCGAAAGGUGAGGUAUAUGGGCUGACGCCUGCCCGGUGCUGGAAGGUUAAGAGGAGAGGUUAGCGCAAGCGAAGCUUUGAAUUUAAGCCCCAGUAAACGGCGGCCGUAACUAUAACGGUCCUAAGGUAGCGAAAUUCCUUGUCGGGUAAGUUCCGACCCGCACGAAAGGCGUAAUGAUUUGAGCGCUGUCUCGACAAUGCAUCCGGUGAAAUUGAAGUACCAGUGAAGAUGCUGGUUACCUGCGCCAGGACGGAAAGACCCCAUGGAGCUUUACUCCAGUCUGGUACUGGGACUCGGUAUUGCAUGUACAGGAUAGGUGGGAGGCUAGGAGAUGGUAACGCCAGUUGCCAUGGAGCCGCUGUUGGGAUACCACCCUUGCAGUAUUGGGUUUCUAACCAGCCGCCGUGACCCGGCGGUGGGACAAUGCCAGACGGGGAGUUUGACUGGGGCGGUCGCCUCCGAAAGGGUAUCGGAGGCGCCCAAAGGUUCCCUCAGAAUGGACGGAAACCAUUCGAAGAGUGCAAAGGCAGAAGGGAGCUUGACUGCGACACCGACGGGUGGAGCAGGUACGAAAGUAGGACUUAGUGAUCCGGUGGUAUUAAGUGGGAAUGCCAUCGCUCAACGGAUAAAAGCUACCCUGGGGAUAACAGGCUUAUCACUCCCAAGAGUUCACAUCGACGGAGUGGUUUGGCACCUCGAUGUCGGCUCAUCGCAUCCUGGGGCUGUAGUAGGUCCCAAGGGUUGGGCUGUUCGCCCAUUAAAGCGGUACGCGAGCUGGGUUCAGAACGUCGUGAGACAGUUCGGUCCCUAUCCGGCGUGGGCGUAGGAUAUCUGAGAGGAGCUGUCCUUAGUACGAGAGGACCGGGAUGGACGGGCCGCUGGUGCAUCGGUUAGACUGCCAAGUCUACGGCCGAGUAGCCAAGCCCGGAAGGGAUAAACGCUGAAGGCAUCUAAGCGUGAAGCCCCCCUUAAGAUGAGAUAUCCCAUUCGAAAGAAGUAAACCCCCUUGA